Long non-coding RNA from Cyprinus carpio (common carp), 153 nucleotides. RefSeq lists it as uncharacterized. NCBI's taxonomy places the organism in Eukaryota, Metazoa, Chordata, Actinopteri, Cypriniformes, Cyprinidae. The transcript is spliced from 3 exons. The record is from RefSeq and is a predicted model, not a curated record.
GUGGACAGCAAUCAGACGUGAAGUGGAAGAAUUUAAUAGAAAGAUUGACAAACAAUUGAGGGAAGAAGGGAGAUCAUUCAAUUGAGUUGAAGCCUACAGCCAUUCUAUCCAUGCAGCAACUGAUGGAAAAGGGGUUCGCUUUGGUGCUGUUGU